CUUCCUUUAACACAGUGAAGAGGGAAGAGAAUGGCGUGUCGGGGAGCAGUGGGUAUAAUCUGUGGCCAUCCUAAAGCACCGAAAAGGCUUGUUACUGUGGAGGUUCGGCACAAGUCCUAUAAGCGAGAGCACCUGACAUGGAACUGAGAGAUGGAAAACGACGUCUUCUGCAGAGGCUCCUCUGACCCCAUGAAGCCAGCCUGAAAACACCUGAGAGGGAUCCAGCCUUUCUAGAAGAUAAAAAGGUUCUUAAGGGACAGCAGACGCCCCUGAGGAUGUGCUGGAUUUGAGCUAGAUUUGAAGAGGGUGGGAUCACUUGAAGAAAAGGUUGUUCAGCGAGGCCUGGCCUGUGGUGGCCUUGUCCUUUCCUAUAGCAUCUGCUAAAGAGACCUGGGGUGGUUUGAGGCCUUGGUGUGUCUUCAUCAUGACAAGGUUAUAGAAACCUCACACAAUCA
Non-coding RNA from Lepisosteus oculatus (spotted gar), 455 nucleotides. The record is from RefSeq and is a predicted model, not a curated record. Lineage: Eukaryota; Metazoa; Chordata; Actinopteri; Semionotiformes; Lepisosteidae.